UACGGGGGGAGCAAGCGUUAUCCGGAAUGAUUGGGCGUAAAGCGUCCGCAGGUGGCAAUGUAAGUCUGCUGUCAAAGCGUCUGGCUCAACCAGAUAAAGGCAGUGGAAACUACAUAGCUAGAGUAAGGUAGGGGUAGAGGGAAUUCCUGGUGUAGCGGUGAAAUGCGUAGAGAUCAGGAAGAACACCGGUGGCUAAGGCGGCUCUCUAGUACGGUACUGACGCUGAGACGCGAAAGCGUGGGGAGCGAACAGG
This 253-nucleotide ribosomal RNA is filed under the name uncultured bacterium. Its description in RNAcentral is "partial 16S ribosomal RNA". It matches the Rfam family "Bacterial small subunit ribosomal RNA", at positions 524 to 776 of the family's 1533-position model. The record is from RNAcentral.